RNAcentral lists this transfer RNA (83 nucleotides) under endosymbiont of Bathymodiolus septemdierum str. Myojin knoll. It matches the Rfam family "tRNA". Rfam says of the family: Transfer RNA (tRNA) molecules are approximately 80 nucleotides in length. Lineage: Bacteria; Pseudomonadati; Pseudomonadota; Gammaproteobacteria. The record is from Rfam by way of RNAcentral.
GCCGAUGUGGUGGAAUUGGUAGACACGCUACCUUGAGGGGGUAGUGGGCUAUGCUCGUGCGAGUUCAACUCUCGCCAUCGGCA